Callorhinchus milii (elephant shark) is the source of this 2926-nucleotide RNA transcript. It is a transcript of the gene named THAP domain-containing protein 2-like, with no coding region annotated. The record is from RefSeq and is a predicted model, not a curated record. Lineage: Eukaryota; Metazoa; Chordata; Chondrichthyes; Chimaeriformes; Callorhinchidae. The transcript has 4 exons.
AAUGAUAAGGAACUAUAUCAAAUGCAAAUAUUAUUAUUAUGAUUAUUAUCCAGGACAACCUAGCUGUAGACGGAGUCUUGCUCUGUAUUUAACCUGACCUACUCAGCUUGCUGGCUACACAUUGAUCCCCUUGAGAGUACGUCAGGGUGUGUACGUGCCCUGACGUCACACGUCGCGACGUGACUCCUGGAGCCGCUGGCAAUUCUGAGUCCGCCAUCUUGGUAAAGGAAGUAGGAGAGCUCGGACGUUUUUUUCUUGUUUUUCCUUCCCUCAGAACCACCCCGCGCGCUUCUCACAAAUUCUCUCUUCGCCUUUACCCUUUCGGCCACGUCGCGGUCAGAAUGCCGACCAGCUGCGCGGCUUACGGGUGCACGGCGGUGUUUAAGAAAAACACCAACGUCAGUUUCCACAGGUUUCCGUCCAAUGCUUACAGAAGGACAGAGUGGGUACAGCUUGUUCAGCGUGAAAACUUUAUACCUGGCAAGCAUACCUUUCUGUGUUCCAGACAUUUUGAAUCAACAUGCUUUGAUCGGACAGGACAAACCAGGCGCUUGCGAGAGGAUGCUGUCCCUACGAUAUUUGACUUUCCACCUCAUCUUCAAGAUAAAAAAUUGCCUACCAGGAAAUCUGAGCAGAUCCCUGAGGGUGACUGCAGCCAAGAGGGCCCAUCCAAGGCUGUCACCGAGUCGAGCUUCAGCAGCAAAGACGUGUUCUUAGAGCACAGCUACUGUCUAGAUAAUCCCAUUGCGGCCAAAAGAAAAAUUUUCCAGUUACAAGAUGAGGUGGAAGUCCUCAGGAAAAAAAUCAAAAUUAGCAAACAGAGAGAACGACGAGUAGCCAAGAAAUGGAGCUGGGUGAACAAUCUUCUGGAAAACCUAAAGGAGAAAUAUCCUGUGCCUGAUAUCAAGGUUGAAGAGCCUAUGUAACCUACACUGAGUGCCAAAUCACAUAAAGAAAAAUAAGCUACAGCUACUGAAAGACUUAUCAGUGAAGACGGUGAAGUGGCAAGAGAUUUUUCCUAACAGUACUGUUCCCUUCUCUUCAGCUCAAAGCACAGGAAUUCUGUAUUUUCAAUCAUCUAUCCCCUCUUCUCCCCACUUUGAAGAACGUGGGUAGUUGAUGUGGGAGAAUGUAUGUAGGGCCACUGCUCUUUGCAUUUUGCUCUUCAAGAUAAAGGGUUAGCAAUGAUGCAUAUUGCAUCUAUAUAUUUUAAAUGUAACUCUGUUCUUCACAACCUUGAAUUGGGUAGAUGGUUUACGUCAGUCAUUAUCUUGGAGUUAAUGGAGGGCCAGCAUUAUUUGCGUUCACCUCUUCCAGAUAAAAGGUUUGGAAUGAUGCAUGUUUGCAUCUGCAGACUUUAAAUGCAACUCUCUCUCCAUAACUUUUCAAUGUGUAGAUGGUUGAAACAGUGGUUGCCUUGGAAUCAUGGAGUGCCAUACUAUUUGUGUUCAGCACUUCAAGAAAACAAAAUUAGCAAUGAUACAUGUUUCGUUUGUAGACUUUACAUUUAACUAGUGAUGGUUCUGUUCCAGAGAUAUUGGUGUUUUUUUUCAAUUUUCUACACUGGAUGUCCAAUUAAAAAUGGGCAAUGGAUACAUUCCAAGUCAUGGCUUGAAGAGUGAUGCAUUUCCUUUCUCCAUGCAAACCAUCUGUACCAGCUGUUGACACUACUAGAUUUAUCCAAAUUUUGCAUUGUGGACAAACAGCUAUCAAGAAAGGGUUACAUUACUCCAUUCCGCACCAGAUUAUCACAGCUAAGAAAGACAUAUGUGCCUCCAGUAUCGAAAUUGUACAGUAAUCAUUCCUGAGCAAUAAAAUCUUUGCAGUUGUCAGCAAAUUUUGUUGUACUGGAGCCAUUGCUGUUAGCUGAACAAAAGAAGCAGCCAUAGCAGAUAAUCAUCUUCUUGUGUUCUACCUCUAAUGGUAGAGUAUUGCUACAAUAACUUGCACUUGCAUAGCAUAGUUUUGCAUGUUUCAAAAUGCUUUACAGACGUGAUGUGGGAGCCUAAACAUAGUGUGAGACACUGGGUGUGGGAGUAGUUGGAGGGAGAUACUGGAGGGGGGUUAUUGGAGCGCACUUUUUUUCGUACGGUUUUGAAAGCAGAGAAAAAGGGUGCAAGGCUUCAGGGAGAGAAUUCCAGAAAGCGGGGACAAGUUACCUGAAGGCUCAUUCACCGGUAGUGGGAGUGAGGGGCAAAGGAAUUAGCCAGAGGUAACAGAACAGAGGACGUGAGUGGAAGAAUAAAUCCACAAGAAGUUACAGUGGAGCUUGGAGAUAUUUGAAGCUUAUAAUGAGGAUCUUAAAGUUAAUCGCAGAGAGAUAGAGAGCCUAGAAAAGAUGAGGAAGAUUGACUUGCAUUGCUUCAUACAGGAAAGAAUAUGCUACGGAAUUUGGAAUGAUCUGUAGCUUUUGGUGGGUUGAGUUGGGAACGGCGCAAGGAGGCCUUUGGAGAAGUCUAGUUUGGAAGCGACAAGGGUGUUGACUAUGGUUUCAACUGUGUUGGGGAUGAAAGAGGGAGGUCAACAGUGUUGAGAAGAUGGAGGAAAGCAGCUUGAUUAUUACUAGCUGGUUAUUUUAAAUGUUGCAAAAAUAAAGCAAUGAUACAGCAAUUGUUUUUUACUUCAGGAAAACAUGAUGAAUGUAUUUUUACUUACCAAUAGAGCGUGAGUGAUCAACAAACUGGAGAGAAUAUUUCUGAUAGGAGCACAAGAUGAUGUACGGACAUUAAAUUCUAAUGAUGUUUCUAUCUACGCAUUAACACGCUAUUCCUCUUUCAAGUGGUACCAUUCCAUUGCAUUGGAGGGAGGUUGACAGGGUAGUACUCAGACAUUCAGGAACGUUUACAGAAGAAAUCUGCAGUUCAAGGGAAACCCAACCUCUGGAGAAUGAUGACUGACUUUACCUCCAUUUCCAGCACCUGAUAAU